This 492-nucleotide ribosomal RNA is filed under the name uncultured bacterium. RNAcentral's name for it is "partial 16S ribosomal RNA". It matches the Rfam family "Bacterial small subunit ribosomal RNA", at positions 29 to 507 of the family's 1533-position model. The record is from RNAcentral.
AGUGAACGCUGGCGGUAGGCCUAACACAUGCAAGUCGAACGGCAGCACAGUAAGAGCUUGCUCUUACGGGUGGCGAGUGGCGGACGGGUGAGGAAUACAUCGGAAUCUACUUUUUCGUGGGGGAUAACGUAGGGAAACUUACGCUAAUACCGCAUACGACCUACGGGUGAAAGCAGGGGAUCUUCGGACCUUGCGCGAUUGAAUGAGCCGAUGUCGGAUUAGCUAGUUGGCGGGGUAAAGGCCCACCAAGGUGACGAUCCGUAGCUGGUCUGAGAGGAUGAUCAGCCACACUGGAACUGAGACACGGUCCAGACUCCUACGGGAGGCAGCAGUGGGGAAUAUUGGACAAUGGGCGCAAGCCUGAUCCAGCCAUACCGCGUGGGUGAAGAAGGCCUUCGGGUUGUAAAGCCCUUUUGUUGGGAAAGAAAAGCAGCAGGUUAAUACCCCGCUGUUCUGACGGUACCCAAAGAAUAAGCACCGGCUAACUCCGUG